GGCAGAACAAGAAAAUGUCCACCAUCCUUGUAAAAGUGGGGUGGAGGGUCCAGAGGAGACAAGUGGAUACUGCCUUGGGAUGCUUGUUGAUCUGGAAGGAUUUGGUGAAGCCUCAGUGGAUGCUGCCAGAAACCAUCCCCAAAAUGCCCCACACUGGCAUUUAAAUCAGUGCAAGCACUCCUGGUGAGGAUGCGCACGGCUGACACAAGAAGCGUAGUGUGGAUGUGUAAAACCGAUUCAAUUACUGUGCUGGCUGUACACCUAUGUAACUUAGGUCUACUUAAUUUUGUAUUGUAGACUUGCCCAGAGUGUUGGCAGCUCAAAGAUGGGAAAAAUUGAGGCACCAAGAGAGGAAGUGGACUGGCUCCAGGUCACCUAGCAGGCCAAUGGCAGAGCAGGGAGUAGAACUCACGUGUCUGAGGUUAGGACAGUGCUCUCUCUACUAGACCAUGCUUUCAUCUCCAGGUAAAGGGCUGGAGCCUCAUCUGCUGUCAAGAGGGUAAUGUUGAUUUACAUCA
Molecule: long non-coding RNA, 518 nt
Organism: Mauremys mutica (yellowpond turtle)
Lineage: Eukaryota; Metazoa; Chordata; Testudines; Geoemydidae
Exons: 3
Source: RefSeq, a predicted model, not a curated record